RNAcentral lists this ribosomal RNA (252 nucleotides) under uncultured bacterium. Its description in RNAcentral is "partial 16S ribosomal RNA". It matches the Rfam family "Bacterial small subunit ribosomal RNA", at positions 524 to 775 of the family's 1533-position model. The record is from RNAcentral.
UACGUAGGUGGCAAGCGUUAUCCGGAAUUAUUGGGCGUAAAGCGCGCGCAGGCGGUUUCUUAAGUCUGAUGUGAAAGCCCACGGCUCAACCGUGGAGGGUCAUUGGAAACUGGGGAACUUGAGUGCAGAAGAGAAAAGCGGAAUUCCACGUGUAGCGGUGAAUGACGUAGAGAUGUGGAGGAACACCAGUGGCGAAGGCGGCUUUUUGGUCUGUAACUGACGCUGAGGCGCGAAAGCGUGGGGAGCAACAGG